ACGGCUCAGUAACACGUAGUCAAUCUACCCUAUGGACGGGGAUAACCUCGGGAAACUGAGGAUAAAACCCGAUAGAUCAUAGUGCCUGGAACGGCUUAUGGUCCAAAUGAUUCGUCGCCGCAGGAUGGGACUGCGGCCUAUCAGCUUGUUGGUGAGGUAAUGGCCCACCAAGGCUAUUACAGGUACGGGCUCUGAGAGGAGAAGCCCGGAGAUGGGUACUGAGACACGGACCCAGGCCCUAUGGGGCGCAGCAGGCGAGAAACCUUUGCAAUGUGCGCAAGCACGACAAGGUUAAUCCGAGUGUUUCCUGCUAAAGGAAUCUUUUGUUAGUUCUAAAACCACUGAUGAAUAAGGGGUGGGCAAGUUCUGGUGUCAGCCGCCGCGGUAAAACCAGCACCUCAAGUGGUCAGGAGGAUUAUUGGGCCUAAAGCAUCCGUAGCCUGUUCUAUAAGUUUCCGGUUAAAUCCAUUAGCUUAACUAAUGGGCUGCCGAAAAUACUGUAGAACUAGGGAGUGGGAGAGGUAGACGGUACUCGGUAGGAAGGGGUAAAAUCCUUUGAUCUAUUGAUGACCACCUGUGGCGAAGGCGGUCUACCAGAACACGUUCGACGGUGAGGGAUGAAAGCUGGGGGAGCAAACCGGAUUAGAUACCCGGGUAGUCCCAGCUGUAAACGAUGCAGACUCGGUGAUGCGCUGGCUUGUGGCCAGUGCAGUGCCGCAGGGAAGCCGUUAAGUUUGCCGCCUGGGAAGUACGUACGCAAGUAUGAGACUUAAAGGAAUUGGCGGGGGAGCAC
This 793-nucleotide ribosomal RNA is filed under the name uncultured archaeon. RNAcentral describes it as "bacterial SSU rRNA". It matches the Rfam family "Archaeal small subunit ribosomal RNA", at positions 85 to 879 of the family's 1478-position model. The record is from RNAcentral.